This 241-nucleotide ribosomal RNA is filed under the name uncultured bacterium. Its description in RNAcentral is "partial 16S ribosomal RNA". It matches the Rfam family "Bacterial small subunit ribosomal RNA", at positions 95 to 339 of the family's 1533-position model. The record is from RNAcentral.
GUGGCGAACGGGUGAGUAAUGCAUCGGAACGUGCCCAAUAGUGGGGGAUAACACAUCGAAAGAUGUGCUAAUACCGCAUACGACCUACGGGUGAAAGCGGGGGACCGAAAGGCCUCGCGCUAUUGGAGCGGCCGAUGGCUGAUUAGCUAGUUGGUGGGGUAAAAGCCUACCAAGGCUACGAUCAGUAGCUGGUCUGAGAGGACGACCAGCCACACUGGGACUGAGAUACGGCCCAGACUCC